Molecule: ribosomal RNA, 253 nt
Filed under: uncultured bacterium
Lineage: Bacteria
Description: partial 16S ribosomal RNA
Rfam family: Bacterial small subunit ribosomal RNA
Source: RNAcentral
UACGUAGGGGGCAAGCGUUGUCCGGAAUCACUGGGCGUAAAGGGCGUGUAGGCGGCUAGGUAUGUCUGACGUGAAAUCCCUCGGCUUAACUGGGGAAUGGCAUCAGAAACUACUUGGCUUGAGUGUGAGAGAGGAUAGCGGAAUUCCCAGAGUAGAGGUGAAAUUCGUAGAUACUGGGAGGAACACCUGAGGCGAAGGCGGCUAUCUGGUUCACAACUGACGCUGAGACGCAAAAGCGUGGGGAGCAAACAGG